UGUAGGAAUCAUCUAUCACCAAUUCGCCUGCCUCGAGUUCAGCCCCUGAAGACAAGCUGUCAUCUCCCAUGCCUCCACCAUAAUGACCUGUACCAAAGAAAACAACCAUGAACAGUUUCUAGAUUUCCUGUGGCAAAAGAAGAAAAAUGAAGAGCAGUUCUUCCCUUGUCAUCUGCUGCACAGGGGUCAACGUCAUCCUGCAGGAGCUUCCGCACUAAAAGAGGACAGAGUCAUCACCAAUCACAUUCUCUGCCUGUUGUUACUGCACCAUCUCACUCCUACCUGUGUCGAUGUCGUUGCUGUUUGCUGCUUCCCUCAGUCUUUUCCCAGCUGUGGAGAUAAGCGACGGGUAUGAAAAUCCUUUAAAAUGACUGGAUGAAUGAGGUCAAAGCAUCAAAACUGAAAAACAUCAUUCAUCAUGAGCUGCUUGAAAAAUGAGGCUGCUGAUAUUAAAAACAUGUGAUUAUAUCACA
Betta splendens (Siamese fighting fish) is the source of this 473-nucleotide long non-coding RNA. RefSeq lists it as uncharacterized. NCBI's taxonomy places the organism in Eukaryota, Metazoa, Chordata, Actinopteri, Anabantiformes, Osphronemidae. The record is from RefSeq and is a predicted model, not a curated record. The transcript is spliced from 2 exons.